AGGAUGAACGCUGGCGGCGUGCUUAACACAUGCAAGUCGAACGAUGAAGCGGAGCUUGCUCUGUGGAUUAGUGGCGAACGGGUGAGUAACACGUGAGUAACCUGCCCUUGACUCUGGGAUAAGCACUGGAAACGGUGUCUAAUACCGGAUACGAGCUUCAGCCGCAUGGCUAGGAGUUGGAAAGAAUUUCGGUCAAGGAUGGACUCGCGGCCUAUCAGGUAGUUGGUGAGGUAAUGGCCCACCAAGCCUACGACGGGUAGCCGGCCUGAGAGGGUGACCGGCCACACUGGGACUGAGACACGGCCCAGACUCCUACGGGAGGCAGCAGUGGGGAAUAUUGCACAAUGGGCGCAAGCCUGAUGCAGCAACGCCGCGUGAGGGACGACGGCCUUCGGUUGUAACCUCUUUAGUAGGAAGAAGCGAAAGUGACGGUACCUGCAGAAAAGCACCGGCUAACUACGCGCCAGCAGCCGCGGU
RNAcentral lists this ribosomal RNA (477 nucleotides) under uncultured bacterium. Its description in RNAcentral is "SSU rRNA". It matches the Rfam family "Bacterial small subunit ribosomal RNA", at positions 26 to 521 of the family's 1533-position model. The record is from RNAcentral.